AUUCUGCUCAAUGAUUUUUUAAAUUGCUGUGGUAUUUUGACUAUACAAAGGUAUUGUAAUAAGAUUUUAAUUGAAUGCUAAAAGAAUGAGUCAACAAAAAAACUCUUUUUUGAAAUUAAAAAUUAAAGUUAUUUUUGUUUGUGAAGAAACAACAAUAGAAUUUAAGGACAAGAAGACCCUAAGAAUUUUUCAAUUAUAUAAGAAAUUAUAGUUUUUAUAUGUAAUUUUAAUUGGGGCGAUUUAAAAAUAUUUGUAACUUUUUUUAAAAAAAAAAUGAACCAAUAUUAUUGGUUUUAUGAAAAAAAAAUACUCUAGGGAUAACAGCGUAAUAAUUUUUGAUAGUUCGUAUAGACAAAAUAGUUUGCGACCUCGAUGUUGGAUUAGGAUUCUUAAUUAAUGAAGAAGUUAAUUGAAGAAGUUGGUCCAAUUAUUAAACUCCUACUUGAUCUGAGUUCAGACCGGCCCCAGCAAUUUAAAAAAUCAUUGNNCA
This 490-nucleotide ribosomal RNA is filed under the name Amblyomma cordiferum. RNAcentral's name for it is "partial large subunit ribosomal RNA". Lineage: Eukaryota; Metazoa; Arthropoda; Arachnida; Ixodida; Ixodidae. The record is from RNAcentral.